AUGAACCUUAUCACUUAGAGGAAGGAGAAGUCGUAACAAGGUUUCCGUAGGUGAACCUGCGGAAGGAUCAUUCGCACUAUCCAAAACUUGUCGUGAACCUGGCUGAAUGCGACUGCUUGUGAAUUUGUUUUUGCAAGUGGAAGCUAUGGGCGACUGGAGGUAUUCGGAGCUGCACUGUGUGUAUGUUCUGGGUGCUGCCCAUCGUCAUUGGUCCCUCUUGGACCUUCCACAACUCAACUUACUCUUGUUUCAGCUUGUGUCAAGGAUAAUUUGAUU
RNAcentral lists this unclassified non-coding RNA (276 nucleotides) under Symbiodinium sp. CCMP832. Its description in RNAcentral is "sequence contains ITS1". The stretch from base 1 to 73 matches the Rfam family "Eukaryotic small subunit ribosomal RNA", at positions 1759 to 1831 of the family's 1831-position model. Lineage: Eukaryota; Dinophyceae; Suessiales; Symbiodiniaceae. The record is from RNAcentral.